Molecule: ribosomal RNA, 253 nt
Filed under: uncultured bacterium
Lineage: Bacteria
Description: partial 16S ribosomal RNA
Rfam family: Bacterial small subunit ribosomal RNA
Source: RNAcentral
UACAGAGGGUGCGAGCGUUAAUCGGAAUUACUGGGCGUAAAGCGUGCGUAGACGGUUAUUUAAGUCGGAUGUGAAAGCCCCGGGCUCAACCUGGGAAUUGCAUUCGAGACUGAAUAGCUAGGGUGCGGUAGAGGGAAGCGGAAUUUCCGGUGUAGCGGUGAAAUGCGUAGAGAUGUGGAGGAACACCGAUGGCGAAGGCAGCCCCCUGGGCCGACACUGACGCUCAGGCACGAAAGCGUGGGGAGCAAACAGG